RNAcentral lists this long non-coding RNA (345 nucleotides) under Mytilus galloprovincialis (Mediterranean mussel). Lineage: Eukaryota; Metazoa; Mollusca; Bivalvia; Mytilida; Mytilidae. The record is from RNAcentral.
GCGAUUUCGGCUCUUGAGAGCCUCUUGUUUAUAAAACCCUUGUUACUUUUUUUUAUAAAACUACUGUUACUAUUCUAUAAACCAAUGUGACUAUUCUACAGUUAUGUGUGAUAAAACAAAUACCAAAACAAAUAUGCUAGACAUAAGACAUAAAUCAAUGACUUUCCUUAUAGAUACGUUUAAUUAGUUUUCUUUUUUUUUCUUUGAAAGACUCAAAGUUAAACAGGUUGUUCUUUUUAGAUGAAAAAAAUAAUUAAGUCUUGUUAAAGAUAUCUCCUGAUAAGGGACACUUUUAACAUUGUAAAUUAUGUAGUAUCACCACAUUUUGAACAUAUUGUCAUCCUC